This 105-nucleotide non-coding RNA is filed under the name Erwinia sp. RNAcentral describes it as "TPP sequence". It matches the Rfam family "TPP riboswitch aptamer (THI element)". From Rfam's summary of the family: Vitamin B(1) in its active form thiamin pyrophosphate (TPP) is an essential coenzyme that is synthesised by coupling of pyrimidine and thiazole moieties in bacteria. RNAcentral also lists the same sequence under 1 other name. Lineage: Bacteria; Pseudomonadati; Pseudomonadota; Gammaproteobacteria; Enterobacterales; Erwiniaceae. The record is from RNAcentral.
ACCGCCUCCGAGGGGUGUCCUGUGAUGGGCUGAGAUGGCAGCAAUGCCGAACCCUUUGAACCUGAUCUGGGUCAUGCCAGCGAAGGGACGGGUCGACACCACAGC